RNAcentral lists this ribosomal RNA (253 nucleotides) under uncultured bacterium. RNAcentral describes it as "partial 16S ribosomal RNA". It matches the Rfam family "Bacterial small subunit ribosomal RNA", at positions 524 to 776 of the family's 1533-position model. The record is from RNAcentral.
GACGGAGGGUGCAAGCGUUGUUCGGAAUUACUGGGCGUAAAGGGCGCGUAGGCGGUCUGUUAAGUUCGGUGUGAAAGCCCCCGGCUCACCUGGGGAACUGCGCCGGAAACCGACAGACUCGAGUACCGGAGAGGAGGGUGGAAUUCCCGGUGUAGCGGUGAAAUGCGUAGAUAUCAGGAGGAACACCGGUGGCGAAGGCGGCCCUCUGGACGGAUACUGACGCUGAGGCGCGAAAGCGUGGGGAUCAAACAGG